UGACACAUCCGACUCCCCCGUGCUGUUUGUGAUUAUGUGUGUUUUUGUCCUCCGGAGGCCACAGAAACAGGGAAGAGACAUUAGACAGACUUACCCUGCUGAACAGAACGCACUGUCCGUCCGCAGGCUCCGGGAACUUUGUGUUACCCCUAUCAGCUUCACUCUGAUAACACUGUGUGUGGUAACGUUAGUCCAAGUGCUGACUAAAGGUCUCAGUUGGAGCUGAUAGAACCGGUGCCCGCAGGCCGUGAAGCACUCAGCAGGACUCCUCUGACGGUCCAUCAUGAAUUUCUUCCUGGAAACAAUCCAAGUCCUCCUGCUGUCCAUGUGGUACAGUGUGGAAUCCUUCAUCCACCUCUUUGUACCCAUUAAGAGGAAGAACAUAGCUGGUGAGGUGGUGCUGAUCACAGGGGCAGGUAGCGGGAUCGGUCGCCUCAUGGCUCAGGAGUUUGCAGCUCUUGGCACUGUGCUGGUGUUGUGGGAUAUUAACCAGGAGGGGAUGAAAGAAACAGCUAGAUUGGCUAAACAAAGCGGAGCCAGCAGAGUCCACUACUAUCUGUGUGACUGCAGUGACAAGAACGAGGUGUACAGAGUGGCUGACCAGGUGAAGCGAGAGGUGGGUGACGUCAGUAUUCUGGUCAACAAUGCUGGAAUUGUGACAGGAAAGAAGUUCAUGGAUGCUCCUGAUUCCCUGAUUGAGAAGACAAUGGAGGUCAACACUAUGGCUCACUUCUGGACCUACAAGGCCUUUCUUCCUGCCAUGAUUGCCAACAAUUACGGCCAUCUUGUCAGCAUUGCUAGUUCUGCUGGACUCAUAGGAGUCAAUGGAUUGGCAGACUACUGUGCCAGUAAGUUUGCAGCAGUAGGUUUUGCAGAGUCUGUGGGUCUGGAGCUGCUGGCAACUGGCAAAGAUGGCAUCAAGACCACGAUUGUGUGCCCGUACUUCAUCAACACUGGAAUGUUUGAUGGAUGUCAAACAAAGUGGCCAAGACUGCUGCCAAUCCUGGAUCCAGACUUUGUGGCCAAGAAGAUCAUUGAUGCUGUGCUCACAGACCAGGUCUACCUUUUGCUACCCAGGAGCAUGUACCUCAUUGCUGCUCUCAAGAACUUGAUAUUUCCUACAUGACCUGUGACUUUACAUGGUGGACCAAUGCACUGGCUGGUACUGCUGCACCUACCUUACAGUACAGCAUCCUGCCCAUGAAGCAGGGCAUCAUGCUGGGCCAGUACCUGGGAGCCUUCAACCUCAUGGACACAUUCAGGGGCCACUCCAGGAAACAGGAAUGAAUGAAUGAAUGAAUAAGAAGUUAAGGAUGACUGAAAUUAAAGGACACAUGGCACUAUUAAAGCCAUCAGUGCCUAUUUUAAUAUUAAUCUUCCCAGUGUAUUGCUGUAAUAAUGAAGAUUAGGGCAAAAUAGUCGGUUGAAUUGGAAUUGUGGACUUAAACUCAACUCUCAUUUCACUGGUUCAUGUUUAAUUUAAACACAUAAUGUCCAUUAGUCUCUUAAUCUAAAAAAAAAAAAGGAAAUGAAAUAGUAAAAUUUAACAGUUUGUAAUUGAAUAGAAAAAUAAUGCUUGUGAUUGCCUCUUACAUUCAGCCAGUCAGUCAGUGUUCUUGUUUACUACUACUUGUUGAGGACCAAUCCUGAUGAUGUAAUGAUGUAUCAUCAGUCAUGGGCGCCCACAAACAGCCAAGUUAAACACUUACUUGCAUAAGUAAAGGGAAAUAUGGGUUCAAAGUCAAAUGUAAUGUUUUCUGAAAUUUCCAAUUUGGACAUGAAUGUUUGUGAAAGUGUCUGUGUUUUGUUGUGUGGCCCUCCGUAGCUUACACCACACCAACAACAAACAGCAACUCUAACUCUGGACACAACUGUAGUUGCGUCAGAACAGGGUAACAGAUGAAAACAAGAAAAAGUAGGAACUGGUGAUUUAAAGGAACUGAAGUAAAUCAGUGGAUAACUGUUUAAAGAGAACGAUAACUUCCAUUGUUGUCAUCGGCAAACCCUUCUCUUUUGUUCAUGACAGGGCUAAUUAUCUUUGUUUUAUAAGGAAUUAAAAAAAUAUAUGUGCAAUACAAAAAUCCAACAUUAAUAAAACUUUCUAUCAGUAGACACAUCCUGUGGGCUGUCCUCCACAACAGAACCCUAGCAUCAGAAAUGAUACUAGCCAAUGCCCUGGCAGGAGAAUACACAGCUACAUCAAAUCUAUUGUAUCAGUAUAUCUACAGUAAUUAUUACAAUCUACUAAUACAAAAGCUAGAUAUUUGAUGUUAACAUUGCGAACACACUGGCACGAAGUAAUAUUCUGUUAUAAUGUCAUACUAACACUGUUGUGAAUGCAUGCAUAAUCAUUUCUGUUGGGUUUAAAUUAAUCAGUGUUGUGCAGUCUAAAUCAUUUCACAUUAAAAAGCAAGUGCUGAUACUCAGGAACAGUGAACCCCACUGAAGGGUUUAGAUAUCUGAUACCUCGCCUUCAUAAAGCUCUAUUUCACCUUGUGUUCACUUCGGGAAAUCUGUCUUUAUUCCCAAACAGCAAAUGUACAACAUGUUAAGGCAUUAGCUGUAAUUAGCUAGCAUUGUACUAGCUAGACACAUUGGCAUGCCACAGCCAGCAAGACUGUGUGGGGAGCCCCUUUAGGUUCUCUUCUUGUUUGUGUAUUUCAUUAAGUGGCAUAAGAAAGCCUCACAUGAAGCAGGCGUUUUGCAGUACAGUAUGUUCUUGAAGGAGGCAUCACUAUGUCAGAGAAACCAUAGGGAGCUUGUGUAUUGUAUUGCAUUACAGUACAGCAGCUUUCCUGAAGUCAUUGUUUUUGAAGUAAUAUGCAUGCAUAUUGCACUCAAUAUAUCCUCAAUUUCACAUUAUUGGUCCUUUUGUUGACAUUUUUACUAGCACACAACCCUUGGUCUGUAAUGUUGAUAUUACAACCAUUAUCACAAUACAUAUCUAUUAAUAUUAACAUUGUUUCAAUGUAUCAGUGUGUCAUUAUUAAUGUCAUAUAAUUUGUAAUUAAUUGCUAUCAUAUGACUGUAGAGGUGGGUUUUUUUUUAUAUAAUUAAUGCAAUUUAUGUAACAGUCAUAUUAAACUGGUCUAUCUGUAUGGAGAGGAUUAAGUGAAUUAAGGCUGUACACUUCUUGCCUUAAUCAUGCAAAUAUUUAAAUGAGUCAUAAAGAAAGAAGAACAUGACAGCGAUGUAGAGGCACAUUUGCCUGCAUAUAUUGUGUUUUCAAAGGUUUCUCACAAUGUAAACUGCCUGAAACUGCCUGAAAAUUCUAAUCAAUACAGUUCAAAUGUUUUA
This is an RNA transcript of Epinephelus fuscoguttatus (brown-marbled grouper), 3297 nucleotides long. It is a transcript of the gene named epidermal retinol dehydrogenase 2-like, with no coding region annotated. The record is from RefSeq and is a predicted model, not a curated record. Lineage: Eukaryota; Metazoa; Chordata; Actinopteri; Perciformes; Serranidae. The transcript has 8 exons.